GUUUUUAAAAUAUACUUAUUAGGGUUUUUGAAGAACUUGUGUAUCAGUUGUAGAAAUUUUGGUAAUGGUAAUAACCAGAUCAAAAAAGGAAAUUCCCGUGGGGAUUAUUGGUGACGGUUUCCCACUCCCUCUCCCUCUCCCUCGACCGCGUUCCACUUCCUGAAAUGCAGGAGGAAUUUAACUUCUCCAUUGCAAAAAGCUCCCUACCUCCAAUGCGCGUUCUGGUUCACCUCUCCAUCGAUCUGCAAAUCCGCUCUACCGGCGACGAGCAAAGAUUAAAGGCUAAGAGGAGCCAAGUAGUGCACAGCGAAACCAAUCUUUGUUUGUACGCGACUCGCCGGAAAGCAUGUCCAAUUUGCCAGAAUUUUUGGACUACGGGAGGCUCGCCAGCCAGAAGGUGACCGCCUAGGCCCGGGAGUCCCGUAUGUGUAGUCUGCUCCGUCAGUACCUCAAAGGAGAAGGUGAUGUUCGGAUCUGAGCCUCAGGAUGACGUACGGCAUUGUGCGAAACGAUUACUCAAGUUUAUAGGUUUAUGAUGAAGGCCUCAGAAAAUCAUUGGUUAAAUGUGUUGGAGGUGAUGGGUGUAUAUAGUGGCGUGGAAAUUGAUGAAUGCUAUUUUAUUUUGGUUGUAGUGAAAUAUUUGUAACUAAAUACGAAAUGCAGUCAUGAUGAUUGUCUGAUGUAAUGAAACAACUUUGUGUAAGUUCUCCCUGAUGAAUGAAGUACCUUAUGAAUUUGUUUAAUAUAA
Long non-coding RNA from Malania oleifera, 748 nucleotides. RefSeq lists it as uncharacterized. The record is from RefSeq and is a predicted model, not a curated record. Lineage: Eukaryota; Viridiplantae; Streptophyta; Magnoliopsida; Santalales; Ximeniaceae. The transcript is spliced from 3 exons.